AAGCGGUGGAUGAUGUGGAUUAAUUCGAUGCAACGCGAAGAACCUUACCACCCUUGACAUGUCCGGAACUUGCCAGAGAUGGCUUGGUGCCCGAAAGGGAAUCGGAACACAGGUGCUGCAUGGCUGUCGUCAGCUCGUGUCGUGAGAUGUUGGGUUAAGUCCCGCAACGAGCGCAACCCUUAUCAUUAGUUGCUACGCAAGGGCACUCUAAUGAGACUGCCGGUGACAAACCGGAGGAAGGUGGGGAUGACGUCAAGUCCUCAUGGCCUUUAUGUCUAGGGCUACACACGUACUACAAUGGCCGGUACAAAGGGCAGCCACUCAGCGAUGAGGCGCUAAUCCCAUAAAGCCGGUCUCAGUCCGGAUCGCAGUCUGCAACUCGACUGCGUGAAGUUGGAAUCGCUAGUAAUCGUAGAUCAGCAUGCUACGGUGAAUACGUUCCCGGGCCUU
RNAcentral lists this ribosomal RNA (450 nucleotides) under uncultured Thiobacillus sp. RNAcentral's name for it is "bacterial SSU rRNA". It matches the Rfam family "Bacterial small subunit ribosomal RNA", at positions 927 to 1382 of the family's 1533-position model. The record is from RNAcentral. Lineage: Bacteria; Pseudomonadati; Pseudomonadota; Betaproteobacteria; Nitrosomonadales; Thiobacillaceae.